UUGGUUAUGCUGAUAAGAGCGUAUGGUGGAUGCCUUGGCACUAAGAGCCGAUGAAAGACGUGAUAAGCUGCGAAAAGCUUCGGGGAGGAGCAAAUAUCCAUUGAUCCGGAGAUUUCUGAAUGGGGAAACCUACUUGAGCAAACCUCAAGUAUCCUAACGCCAAUCCAUAACGUUAGGAAGGGAACCCGGUGAACUGAAACAUCUAAGUAGCCGGAGGAAGAGAAAACAACAUGUGAUUCUGUGAGUAGCGGCGAGCGAAAGCGGAAGAGCCCAAACCGGAGUGCGUGCACUCCGGGGUUCGGACCGCAGAAUUGAUUCAAUAAGUCUAGCAGAAUGGUUUUGGGAAAGCCAGCCAGAGAGGGUGAAAGCCCCGUAAGCGAAAGACGAGUUGACAUGGCGGUAUCCAGAGUACCACGAGACACGAGAAACCUUGUGGGAAUGAGCGGGGACCACCCCGUAAGGCUAAAUACUUCUUAGUGACCGAUAGCGCAUAGUACUGUGAAGGAAAGGUGAAAAGGACCCCGGGAGGGGAGUGAAAGAGAACCUGAAACCAUAUGUUUACAAGCUGUGGAACAUCUUUAUAUGAUGAACCGCGUACUUUUUGUAGAACGGUCCGGCGAGUUACGCUGGCUGGCGAGGUUAAGCACUUCAAGGUGUGGAGCCGAAGGGAAACCAAGUCUGAAUAGGGCGUGAAGUCAGUCAGAGUAGACCCGAAACCGGGUGAUCUAUCCAUGUCCAGGUUGAAGUUGCCGUAAAAGGCAAUGGAGGACCGAACCCACAUCCGUUGAAAAGGGUGGGGAUGAGGUGUGGAUAGGGGAGAAAUUCCAAUCGAACCCGGAGAUAGCUGGUUCUCCUCGAAAUAGCUUUAGGGCUAGCCUCAUACGAGUCUUGCGGAGGUAGAGCACUGAAUUCUUAAGGGGGCGUCAAAGCUUACUAAGAGAUAUCAAACUCCGAAUGCCGCGUAGAUGAUGUAUGGGAGUCAGACUGCACGAGAUAAGUUGGGUAGUCAAAAGGGAAAGAGCCCAGACCUACAGCUAAGGUCCCAAAAUGUGUGUUAAGUGGAAAAGGAUGUGGGAUUUCGAAGACAACUAGGAUGUUGGCUCAGAAGCAGCCAUCCAUUAAAAGAGUGCGUAAUAGCUCACUAGUCGAGAGGUCCUGCGCCGAAAAUGUCCGGGGCUGAAACACACUACCGAAGCUUAGGAAUUAACGAAUGUUAAUUGGUAGAGGAGCAUUCUUAAAGAGACGAAGCUGUACCGAAAGGAGCAGUGGAUUUUUAAGAAGAGAGAAUGCCGGAAUGAGUAGCGAGAGGAAGGUGNNNNNNNNNNNNNNNNNNNNNNNNNNNNNNNNNNNNNNNNNNNNNNNNNNNNNNNNNNNNNNNNNNNNNNNNNNNNNNNNNNNNNNNNNNNNNNNNNNNNNNNNNNNNNNNNNNNNNUCCGGCCGAAUAUCUAAGGUUUCCAGCGUAAAGCUGAUCUGCGCUGGGUAAGUCGGGGCCUAAGGCGAGGUCGAAAGACGUAGUCGAUGGAUAACAGGUUGAAAUUCCUGUACUAUGAUAUAACAGAACUGUGGGGACGCAGGGAGAGAGCGCGAGCCGGGAACGGAAAGCCCGGCGCAAGCGAGGUACCGGUCUGUCAGGAAAAUCCGGCAGGCAACGGGAAGACGUGAUGCGGACCGAAAAAGAGUAGGGAAGAGCGUGAGCUAACUGCCAAGAAAAGCCGCUAUUGUUUAUAUCAUACCCGUACCGUAAACCGACACAGGUGGAUGAGGAGAGAAUCCUAAGGCCGACGGGAGAAGCAUUGUUAAGGAACUCGGCAAAAUGACUCCGUAACUUCGGGAGAAGGAGUGCCAUGCGAAUGGCCGCAGAGAAUUGGCCCAAGCAACUGUUUAGCAAAAACACAGGUCUAUGCAAAACCGAAAGGUGAGGUAUAUGCUGACGCCUGCCCGGUGCUGGAAGGUUAAGGGGAGAGGUUAGCGCAAGCGAAGCUUUGAACUUAAGCCCCAGUAAACGGCGGCCGUAACUAUAACGGUCCUAAGGUAGCGAAAUUCCUUGUCGGGUAAGUUCCGACCCGCACGAAAGGCGUAAUGAUUUGGGCACUGUCUCAACAAUGCACCCGGUGAAAUUGAAAUACCAGUGAAGAUGCUGGUUACCUGCGCCAGGACGGAAAGACCCCAUGGAGCUUUACUCCAGCUUGAUACUGGGAUUCGAUAUUGCAUGUACAGGAUAGGUGGGAGACUAGGAGACGGUAACGCCAGUUGCCGUGGAGUCGAUGUUGGGAUACCACCCUUGCAGUAUUGGGUUUCUAACCAGCAGCCGUGAUCCGGCUGGGGGACAAUGUCAGGUGGGGAGUUUGACUGGGGCGGUCGCCUCCGAAAGGGUAUCGGAGGCGCUCAAAGGUUCCCUCAGAAUGGUUGGAAACCAUUCGAAGAGUGCAAAGGCAGAAGGGAGCUUGACUGCGACACCGACGGGUGGAGCAGGUACGAAAGUAGGACUUAGUGAUCCGGUGGUAUAAAGUGGGAUUGCCAUCGCUCAACGGAUAAAAGCUACCCUGGGGAUAACAGGCUUAUCACUCCCAAGAGUUCACAUCGACGGAGUGGUUUGGCACCUCGAUGUCGGCUCAUCGCAUCCUGGGGCUGAAGUAGGUCCCAAGGGUUGGGCUGUUCGCCCAUUAAAGCGGUACGCGAGCUGGGUUCAGAACGUCGUGAGACAGUUCGGUCCCUAUCCGGCGUGGGCGUAGGAUAUUUGAGAGGAGCUGUCCUUAGUACGAGAGGACCGGGAUGGACUGGCCGCUGGUGUACCUGUUGCAUCGCCAGAUGCAUGGCAGGGUAGCCAAGCCGGGAAGGGAUAAACGCUGAAGGCAUCUAAGCGUGAAGCCCCCCUCAAGAUAAGAUAUCCCAUAACGUCAAGUUAGUAAGACCCCUUGAAGACGACGAGGUAGAUAGGGCAGAGGUGGAAGUGUGGUAACACAUGGAGCUGACUGUUACUAAUAGGUCGAGGGCAUAACCAGAA
RNAcentral lists this ribosomal RNA (3004 nucleotides) under Firmicutes bacterium AM31-12AC. RNAcentral describes it as "23S ribosomal RNA". It matches the Rfam family "Bacterial large subunit ribosomal RNA". Lineage: Bacteria; Bacillati; Bacillota. The record is from RNAcentral.